RNAcentral lists this ribosomal RNA (377 nucleotides) under Listeria monocytogenes. Its description in RNAcentral is "partial 23S ribosomal RNA". It matches the Rfam family "Bacterial large subunit ribosomal RNA", at positions 578 to 954 of the family's 2925-position model. The record is from RNAcentral. Lineage: Bacteria; Bacillati; Bacillota; Bacilli; Caryophanales; Listeriaceae.
AGCCCGUUAAUGGGUGAUAGCGUGCCUUUUGUAGAAUGAACCGGCGAGUUACGAUUUGUUGCAAGGUUAAGCGGAAAAAGCGGAGCCGUAGCGAAAGCGAGUCUGAAUAGGGCGCAUAAGUAACAGGUCGUAGACCCGAAACCAGGUGAUCUACCCAUGUCCAGGAUGAAGGUAAGGUAAUACUUACUGGAGGUCCGAACCCACGCACGUUGAAAAGUGCGGGGAUGAGGUGUGGGUAGCGGAGAAAUUCCAAUCGAACUUGGAGAUAGCUGGUUCUCUCCGAAAUAGCUUUAGGGCUAGCCUCGAGGUAAAGAGUCAUGGAGGUAGAGCACUGUUUGGACUAGGGGCCCUUCUCGGGUUACCGAAUUCAGAUAAAC